RNAcentral lists this ribosomal RNA (372 nucleotides) under uncultured organism. RNAcentral describes it as "bacterial SSU rRNA". It matches the Rfam family "Bacterial small subunit ribosomal RNA", at positions 526 to 896 of the family's 1533-position model. The record is from RNAcentral.
CGUAGGGUCCAAGCGUUAUCCGGAAUCACUGGGCGUAAAGCGUGCGUAGGUGGCGCGUUAAGUGUGAUGUUAAAACGUGGGGCUCAACCCUGUCGGUGCAUCACAUACUGGCGUGCUAGAGGACAGCAGAGGCAAGUGGAAUUUGUAGUGUAGCAGAGAAAUGCGUAGAUAUUACAAGGAACACCAAUGGCGAAGGCAGCUUGCUGGGCUACUCCUGACACUGAGGUACGAAAGCGUGGGGAGCGAACAGGAUUAGAUACCCUGGUAGUCCACGCCGUAAACGAUGCAUACUAGACGUAUGGGGUAUCGACCCCCUGUGCGUCGAAGCUAACGCGAUAAGUAUGCCGCCUGGGAAGUACGGCCGCAAGGCUA